RNAcentral lists this ribosomal RNA (497 nucleotides) under uncultured bacterium. Its description in RNAcentral is "partial 16S ribosomal RNA". It matches the Rfam family "Bacterial small subunit ribosomal RNA", at positions 28 to 507 of the family's 1533-position model. The record is from RNAcentral.
GAUGAACGCUGGCGGCGUGCCUAAUACAUGCAAGUCGAGCGAACAGACGAGGAGCUUGCUCCUCUGACGUUAGCGGCGGACGGGUGAGUAACACGUGGAUAACCUACCUAUAAGACUGGGAUAACUUCGGGAAACCGGAGCUAAUACCGGAUAAUAUAUUGAACCGCAUGGUUCAAUAGUGAAAGACGGUUUUGCUGUCACUUAUAGAUGGAUCCGCGCCGCAUUAGCUAGUUGGUAAGGUAACGGCUUACCAAGGCAACGAUGCGUAGCCGACCUGAGAGGGUUAUCGGCCACACUGGAACUGAGACACGGUCCAGACUCCUACGGGAGGCAGCAGUAGGGAAUCUUCCGCAAUGGGCGAAAGCCUGACGGAGCAACGCCGCGUGAGUGAUGAAGGUCUUCGGAUCGUAAAACUCUGUUAUUAGGGAAGAACAAAUGUGUAAGUAACUAUGCACGUCUUGACGGUACCUAAUCAGAAAGCCACGGCUAAAUACGUG